UCGAGAAUUUUGGGCAAUGGGGGCAACCCUGACCCAGCAAUGCCGCGUGCGGGAUGAAGGUCUUCGGAUUGUAAACCGCUGUCAAGAGGGACGAAUACAAUUGACGGUACCUCUGGAGGAAGUCACGGCUAACUACGUGCCAGCAGCCGCGGUAAUACGUAGGUGACAAGCGUUGUUCGGAUUCAUUGGGCGUAAAGGGUCCGCAGGUGGUUUGAUAAGUCUGACGUGAAAUACCGGAGCUCAACUCCGGAACUGCGUUGGAGACUGUUGAACUGGAGUAUCGGAGAGGAAAUUGGAAUUCCAGGUGUAGCGGUGGAAUGCGUAGAUAUCUGGAAGAACAUCGACAGCGAAGGCAGAUUUCUGGACGAUAACUGACACUCAGGGACGAAAGCAUGGGGAG
This 400-nucleotide ribosomal RNA is filed under the name uncultured bacterium. RNAcentral's name for it is "bacterial SSU rRNA". It matches the Rfam family "Bacterial small subunit ribosomal RNA", at positions 355 to 768 of the family's 1533-position model. The record is from RNAcentral.